This 383-nucleotide ribosomal RNA is filed under the name uncultured bacterium. Its description in RNAcentral is "bacterial SSU rRNA". It matches the Rfam family "Bacterial small subunit ribosomal RNA", at positions 30 to 414 of the family's 1533-position model. The record is from RNAcentral.
AUUGAACGCUGGCGGCAUGCCUUACACAUGCAAGUCGAACGGUAACGGGCCUUCGGGUGCCGACGAGUGGCGAACGGGUGAGUAAUGCAUCGGAACGUACCUUUCAGUGGGGGAUAACGUAGCGAAAGUUACGCUAAUACCGCAUAUUCUGUGAGCAGGAAAGCAGGGGAUCGCAAGACCUUGCGCUGAUUGAGCGGCCGAUGUCAGAUUAGCUAGUUGGUGAGGUAAAGGCUCACCAAGGCGACGAUCUGUAGCGGGUCUGAGAGGACUGAUCCGCCACACUGGAACUGAGACACGGUCCAGACUCCUACGGGAGGCAGCAGUGGGGAAUUUUGGACAAUGGGGGCAACCCUGAUCCAGCCAUGCCGCGUGAGUGAAGAAGG